Molecule: unclassified non-coding RNA, 5809 nt
Filed under: Portunus trituberculatus (swimming crab)
Lineage: Eukaryota; Metazoa; Arthropoda; Malacostraca; Decapoda; Portunidae
Description: syntaxin-1A-like, transcript variant X4
Source: RNAcentral
GGGAGGGCGGCGCGGUGGCAAGGCGUGUGUGGCGCGAGGUGGCAAGGAUAUGCGUGCGCAGACGAGCAUGGGAAGUCACUCUUGUUUUGGGAGUAUCGAUUUUUGGCCAGUGUUCAGUUGGAUACUGUUCAUGCCACGAGUGGAAUAUGUAUCUUAGUGUUUCCCCGUGAUCUUGUCGUCUGCAGCUGUGUUACUGAGGCCGCCUUCUCCCCUCCACCACCAUGACUAAGGACAGACUUGCCGCGUUGAGAGCAGCGCAGAGUGAUGAAGAUGAUGUCGGACCUGACGAUGUUGCCGUCAAUGUGGAUGGCAACGUCGGAUACAUGGAUGACUUCUUCAACGAGGUGGAGGAGAUACGAGAAAUGAUAGAGAAGAUCCAGAACAAUGUGGAAGAAGUUAAGAAGAAGCACAGUGAGAUUCUAUCCGCCCCGCAAACGGACGAGAAGGUGAAGCAGGAGCUCGAUGACAUGAUGACUGACAUCAAGAAGACAGCCAACAGAGUCCGUGCUAAACUUAAAGUCAUUGAACAGAACAUCGAAUCUGAGGAGCAUGUGAGCAAGGCCAGUGCAGACCUCAGGAUAAAGAAGACACAACACUCGACUCUCAGCCGCAAAUUUGUGGAGGUGAUGACUGAGUACAAUCGCACACAGACUGACUACCGUGAGCGCUGCAAGGGAAGGAUACAGAGACAGCUGGAGAUCACGGGACGCAACACCACCAGUGAAGAGCUGGAGGACAUGCUGGAGCAGGGCAACCCAGCGGUCUUCACACAGGGGAUUAUCAUGGAGACCCAGCAGGCCAAACAGACCUUGGCGGACAUCGAGGCUCGACAUGAAGACAUUGUCAAACUGGAGACUUCAAUCAGGGAGCUCCAUGACAUGUUCAUGGACAUGGCAAUGCUUGUGGAGAGUCAGGGGGAGAUGAUUGAUAGGAUUGAGUAUCACGUAGAUCAGUCCGUCGAAUAUGUGGGGAAAGCUAUGGAGGACACUAAAAAGGCACUUAAGUAUCAGAGCAAAGCACGCAAGAAGAAGAUAAUGAUCAUGGUGUGUGUGUCGGUUCUCUGUGUUGUCCUGAGUAUCAGCGGCGCCAAAUACCUCAAACUAUUCUAAAUCUUCUACUGCUUCGUUGUAACCUAAUUAUGUAAAACUCUACAACCCUUUCUGCUGGUAACAAACACCCAGUAUAUGCUAGUGCUCAGAAUGCUUCGUCUCUCUCUCCUUGUCCCUCCCUCCCCUCCUUCUCCGCAAAGCCCGAAGUACCGGCCUUGUAUAUAGUGCAUAGCGGCAGCCUGAUUGCUACCACCGGAUCUGCCGAGUCAGGCUUGGCACCGCCCGAAGAGAAGAGAAGUGCAGCGUGCGAGGACAGAAAUGCUGCAUAUGUUUUAGUCGUCUCAUUCAAAACACCUAAAAAAAUAUGGGGUAAAAGAGAAAAAAAACUAGUUAUUCUGACCAAUUGUAUGUUUACGUAAACGAUUUGAGAUUUUUGUCCUUGUGGAAAAGAUUUUUGUCAUUUGAAGUGCAAGAUCUGUUAUUUCAUUAAGUCAUGUCUGUCUUUUUAUCUGUCUGUCUGUCUGGUCUGGGCCACUCCUGCGUGUGUCUGUUUGUAUGAGGGUACUCCUUGUUUGCUCAGUCGAGGUGGAUGUUAAAAGAUGUUCCUUUGUCAGCCUUGUGUUGUGUUCCGGAAGGUGUGUCGCAGUGUUACCCAAGUACUGUCUCUCGUCGUGGUUUUUUUCUUUCGUUGUUACGAGAGAGAGAGAGAGAGAGAGAGAUAUAUAUAUACAUAUAUAACUUAUUCAUUUACGUAGUACUGAUGAGUUUGAUUUGUUUCUCGAGGUGGGUGAUGAAGACAAGACAAAGGAAUGCUUGUGUAUUUCAAAAGGUGUAUCUUGACUCCUAGCUUUUCGUGGUACCUGAGUUCCCGCGCUUUGAGAGAGGCGCCAGAGUGAGAUUAGUAGAGGUGCGUUACUUUGUGCGUCAUACCGAGGGUCCAGGCUCCAGGGGGCUGUGUUGUGUGUGAGUGUGGAAGCCUGGACGGUAGGCUUGACUCUUCUGUUAUGAGUAAAAGUUGUUUACUGAUCCUUUGAUGGAGUGCGUCCGGACCUGAACACGUUAAUCUGAUUGUUGAGUUGACUCCCUGGCGGCGCGGGUGGCGGCGUCCAUGUUCUUGUGCCCCGCCCCCCGCCAGGACUAAAUUGUUGACGGUGUGUUGCGAGGCCCUGGGCGGCGUGCUGGGCUAAGGCGGACUGGCCGGUGCUGAGUGCUGAGUCCCCCUCCAGACCCUCCCCGCCGCCAGCCCGGCACUUAUAUGCCACGUAUAAGUGUCCCCAUAACGCUGCUGCUGCUGCUGCUACUACUACUGCCGUGGUGUGGGUGGCGGAGAGUGAGCAGAAGUGUUCCAGUUGUGUGACUCUGAAGUGAGCAGCGCCGCCUCAGUAUUCCCCGGCGGCCGCCCUCCCUCCGGUUGUCGGGCGGGCUGGCGGGGCGGGGCGGUGCUGGCGGGGGCGGCGGCCAGCUCGGUUCCGGCUCCAAACAUUCGUAGAUUCUGUAGUAGAUGUUGACAGACCACCAGUUCUACUCCUGUUUUUACAUUGUAGAGCGUAUUGUAUAAAAUGUACUUAGGGUGUGUGCGAGACAGUGCUGUCCUCUCAUUGUUUGCCGCGGGCGAGUGUCCUUGUUGCCGGGGGGGCGGUGAGGGGCGGGGCACUGUGCCCCGGCCCCCGCCGCCGACCCAACUGUCACUUGUUGGAAAUUAUUGAAAUCUGUGUUCUGAAAUUUGUUUUGCAUUGUACAUGCAUGAAAUGUUCAUCAGUAUUUAGGACGACCGUAGUGAAGGUCAUAGUGGACAACCCGCCGUCGACGCAGCGGACGUGGCUGCUGCUGCUGGGUGGAACGAAACCCGCGGGCCCCGGCGGGGCGGACGGCGGGAGAGAGGGCCUGGCCCGUGCCGCGCGUGGCGGGGCCGUUGUCUGGGACAUCUUGUGUGGCAGACAGGCCCGGGCACGGACAGCUUCCACCACGGCGUCCUGCGGCACAGCCUCUCCCGCCCCGACCUUACGGCCCGGCCAGCGGCGGCAGCGGCGGCCGGAUGCGGCACGGCGCGGCGCGGCGGCGGCCGCAACUCAGUCUGGUUGUGAGUCUGUGUCACAGUCUUUACAUAGUUGUUACAAUGUCUUAAAGAUGCAAAAAAGUUUUCUCCAUGGUAGCAUGAUCUAAUUAGUUAGAGCAAUAAUACUUUAACAUUCAUCAAUCAAUGCAUAUCCUAGCCUAACUUGUGAACUGAUGUAAUGUCCACCGAAAUACUUUACAUUUGAUAUUAUAUUCAACUCUUAACAUCUUUUUAGUGGGUCAGAGGAGGUUCGAUGACAGCGUAGCGACGUCUUGUAUAUUCUUCACCAGAAUUUCUCUGGCCAUUACAUCGCCCCAGCCUGUGGGCGGACCCUCUCUGUGGGCGGCCAGGCGGCAGCGCCCGCACACUGCCAACGCGAGGAGAGGGAGCGACGGCCACACUCCCUCCCUCUCCCUCACCCUCACUCUCGCACACACUCCAACACCAGCAGGUCGUACUUACUGAGUCACCAAGUACCGCGCGGGAGCCUCACUCGCGGGCAUGAGGCGGUGAAGAAUUAAUACAACGUUUUUAUGCAUUGAUACCGUGUCUUGAGCUGUUAGUGCAGAGGCCUCGAGGUCGAUUACCGAUCAGACUAUGCAUUUAUUGUGUUUAUCCAGUGUUAAGCUCCCUCGUGUCGGUUCCACAGUUUUGUAGCGUAGUUGUAGGGUGACAGAGCAGCCUGGCGGCGGUGCUCCUGGGCGGGCACGCUCGCUCCAAGCUCGUCUCGUCCAAGAUAACAAAUCAAACGGGUGGAGGAAUCUAGUGGAGAGCGAUGGUGCUGCUUGAAGGGUGGAUGCCGAGACGCAGGAUGCCGGAGAUGUUGUGGUGGUGCGGGCUGAGGAGGCACGGUGUGAGGCAGCAGCCUGGACGGUGUUCUGUCUCCAGGCAACACGCAGGGUGGAGCUGAUCGCCGCAGGGAUGGAUGGAUGGAUGGAUGGGUGGGUGGGUGGCAGUCUUGGUGUGUGAGGCGCCUGGUUCCGCGUGUGUGUUCCGGUCAAGGUGUUGCCUCGGUGAGGAGCAGGACGUGUCCGCCUCAGGGGCACCGUCCUAGGAUGGGCUGCGGCUGCUGAGAGAAGCUAGAAUAUUCUUUUUUUAAUCCUUUCCUGUGGGCACAUUUUGAUAUCCAGAUAGUAGUGUGUUUGUACCUUGAGUUAGGAGCAGUAGUUGAAGUUUUAGCCAUAUAUAUUAUAUAUAUAUAACAAAAGUAUGGACAUUUUUUUUUAAUAAUCACUAACAUUUAUCAGAGGUACGAUUAACCCUUGUUGUUGAAUGAUCUCCUGUCAUUAUCUAAGAAAAUGAGGGAUAGCAAGGGAGUCCCAUCCCCCUUCACGACCCCUUCCGUGAGAAAAGGGUUAAGAGAGGUGGAGUAAAUAUAUUUGUAGCCGUAGCUCUGUUUAACCGUAUUGUUACCGCAGUUAUACAAUUAGUAGUGCGUUCGUAUAUUGCGAGUAUGUAAUGAUGGAGGCGUGGCGGUCCUGCCGCGCCCUCCAGUGGGUGAAAGUUACAAAGGGGUGCAUGGCUCUUCUCCUCCCCCCCUCCCUCCCUGUCACCUGUCACCGUUCCCCCCCUCCCCUUCCAUUGUGGUGAUAAUACAUUGUCUGCCUCUCUCUCUCUCUCUCUCUCUCUCUCUCUCUCUCUCUCUCUCUCUCUCUCUCUCUCUCUCUCUCUCUCUCUCUCUCUCUCUCUCUCUCUCUCUCUCUCUCUCUCUCUCUCUCUCUCUCUCUCUCUCUCUCUCUCUAUCCUUCAUUCAUGUUGUCAUCUGCUAAUGUACGUGCGUGUGCGUGUGCGUGUGCGCGUGUCCAUCACUCCCAAUUUUACAGCCCGUUCCAACCACUGCUCGGGGUUCCCUCCCUCCCCCUCUAUCUUUCCCCAUCCCUCCCCGCCAGCCCACCCCGCCCCGCCCCGCCCCGCCCUGCCCCUACUUACGGUGUGGGAGGCUGUGUAUCUCUUGUUGUUGUUGUUGUUGUCGUCAGCGACUGUGAGACUCAGAUGAAAGUCCUAUUAAAAAAUGGCGGGGACGGUCCAAUGAUAGCUUGUAGCAGUCUCUCUCUCUCUCUCUCUCUCUCUCUCUCUCUCUCUCUCUCUCUCUCUCUCUCUCUCUCUCUCUCUUUCUUCCAAGAGCACAAAGACCUCAUUUCCCUCCCUGUCUCUGCUAAAGCGUAAUAACUCUCCAUUCCCCCUCGAGUCAGCUAGCGAGAAGUGACCGCCAGUGCUGUCCUCUCUUGACCAUCACCAGAACCACUGACUGACUGGCUUCAGCUCGCCCGUCUUACUCAUGCUUAGUGAACACAAGCCUUUUUUAGUAGAAUGUGACGAACGUGUACAAACGGGAGAAUGUGUAACAAGCAUAACAAAAUAUUUAAAGCACAUUUUUUGAUAAUACUCACUAGUCCACUCCUUCCCUCUCUUUUUUUUUCCCCUGCCUUUCAUUCCCCUUUCUUUAACUUCACUCUUUCUCUUCCUCCCUGGUUUCAUUUUUAUACACUAUUUAUUCUUUGUAACUUUCGUAUAUGCAAUUGCUCCCUUACCCCUCCCGUUGCCCUCCCCUCCCCUUCCUCUCCCGUCUCCCUUCUUCCCCUUCCCUCACCCCCAGCAUUAGUAUGGAUCAAGGAGUGUUCUAUCGAUCUUCUUUGCGAUUCAACUCUUUAACGUGUACAUUCUAAGCUUACAAGUUACGAAGUGAAUAUAGAAGAUAAGCAAU